RNAcentral lists this transfer RNA (69 nucleotides) under Collichthys lucidus (big head croaker). It matches the Rfam family "tRNA". From Rfam's summary of the family: Transfer RNA (tRNA) molecules are approximately 80 nucleotides in length. Their secondary structure includes four short double-helical elements and three loops (D, anti-codon, and T loops). Further hydrogen bonds mediate the characteristic L-shaped molecular structure. tRNAs have two regions of fundamental functional importance: the anti-codon, which is responsible for specific mRNA codon recognition, and the 3' end, to which the tRNAs corresponding amino acid is attached (by aminoacyl-tRNA synthetases). tRNAs cope with the degeneracy of the genetic code in two manners: having more than one tRNA (with a specific anti-codon) for a particular amino acid; and 'wobble' base-pairing, i.e. permitting non-standard base-pairing at the 3rd anti-codon position. Lineage: Eukaryota; Metazoa; Chordata; Actinopteri; Sciaenidae. The record is from Rfam by way of RNAcentral.
AAGGCUUUAGCUUAAUUAAAGUAUCUGUUUUGCAUACAGGUGAUGUGGGUUAGUGUCCUGCAAGUCUUA